ACAAUGGUAGGAGAGCGUUCUAAGGGCGUUGAAGCAUGAUCGUAAGGACAUGUGGAGCGCUUAGAAGUGAGAAUGCCGGUGUGAGUAGCGAAAGAUGGGUGAGAAUCCCGUCCACCGAUUGACUAAGGUUUCCAGAGGAAGGCUCGUCCGCUCUGGGUUAGUCGGGUCCUAAGCUGAGGCCGACAGGCGUAGGCGAUGGAUAACAGGUUGAUAUUCCUGUACCACCUAUAAUCGUUUUAAUCGAUGGGGGGGACGCAGUAGGAUAGGCGAAGCGUGCGAUUGGAUUGCACGUCUAAGCAGUAAGGCUGAGUAUUAGGCAAAUCCGGUACUCGUUAAGGCUGAGCUGUGAUGGGGAGAAGACAUUGUGUCUUCGAGUCGUUGAUUUCACACUGCCGAGAAAAGUCUCUAGAUAGAAAAUAGGUGCCCGUACCGCAAACCGACACAGGUAGUCAAGAUGAGAAUUCUAAGGUGAGCGAGCGAACUCUCGUUAAGGAACUCGGCAAAAUGACCCCGUAACUUCGGGAGAAGGGGUGCUCUUUAGGGUUAACGCCCAGAAGAGCCGCAGUGAAUAGGCCCAAGCGACUGUUUAUCAAAAACACAGGUCUCUGCUAAACCGUAAGGUGAUGUAUAGGGGCUGACGCCUGCCCGGUGCUGGAAGGUUAAGAGGAGUGGUUAGCUUCUGCGAAGCUACGAAUCGAAGCCCCAGUAAACGGCGGCCGUAACUAUAACGGUCCUAAGGUAGCGAAAUUCCUUGUCGGGUAAGUUCCGACCCGCACGAAAGGCGUAACGAUUUGGGCACUGUCUCAACGAGAGACUCGGUGAAAUCAUAGUACCUGUGAAGAUGCAGGUUACCCGCGACAGGACGGAAAGACCCCGUGGAGCUUUACUGUAGCCUGAUAUUGAAAUUCGGCACAGCUUGUACAGGAUAGGUAGGAGCCUUUGAAACGUGAGCGCUAGCUUACGUGGAGGCGCUGGUGGGAUACUACCCUAGCUGUGUUGGCUUUCUAACCCGCACCACUUAUCGUGGUGGGAGACAGUGUCAGGCGGGCAGUUUGACUGGGGCGGUCGCCUCCUAAAAGGUAACGGAGGCGCUCAAAGGUUCCCUCAGAAUGGUUGGAAAUCAUUCAUAGAGUGUAAAGGCAUAAGGGAGCUUGACUGCGAGACCUACAAGUCGAGCAGGGUCGAAAGACGGACUUAGUGAUCCGGUGGUUCCGCAUGGAAGGGCCAUCGCUCAACGGAUAAAAGCUACCCCGGGGAUAACAGGCUUAUCUCCCCCAAGAGUUCACAUCGACGGGGAGGUUUGGCACCUCGAUGUCGGCUCAUCGCAUCCUGGGGCUGUAGUCGGUCCCAAGGGUUGGGCUGUUCGCCCAUUAAAGCGGUACGCGAGCUGGGUUCAGAACGUCGUGAGACAGUUCGGUCCCUAUCCGUCGUGGGCGUAGGAAAUUUGAGAGGAGCUGUCCUUAGUACGAGAGGACCGGGAUGGACAUACCUCUGGUGUACCAGUUGUCGUGCCAACGGCAUAGCUGGGUAGCUAUGUGUGGACGGGAUAAGUGCUGAAAGCAUCUAAGCAUGAAGCCCCCCUCAAGAUGAGAUUUCCCAACUUCGGUUAUAAGAUCCCUCAAAGAUGAUGAGGUUAAUAGGUUCGAGGUGGAAGCAUGGUGACAUGUGGAGCUGACGAAUACUAAUCGAUCGAAGACUUAAUCAA
RNAcentral lists this ribosomal RNA (1705 nucleotides) under Staphylococcus aureus M0750. RNAcentral describes it as "bacterial LSU rRNA". It matches the Rfam family "Bacterial large subunit ribosomal RNA", at positions 1222 to 2925 of the family's 2925-position model. The record is from RNAcentral. Lineage: Bacteria; Bacillati; Bacillota; Bacilli; Caryophanales; Staphylococcaceae. RNAcentral also lists the same sequence under 1 other name.